Molecule: transfer RNA, 78 nt
Filed under: Candidatus Omnitrophota bacterium
Lineage: Bacteria; Pseudomonadati; Candidatus Omnitrophota
Description: tRNA-Pro
Rfam family: tRNA
About the family: Transfer RNA (tRNA) molecules are approximately 80 nucleotides in length. Their secondary structure includes four short double-helical elements and three loops (D, anti-codon, and T loops).
Source: RNAcentral
CGGGGAGUGGCUCAGUUUGGCUAGAGCGUUUGGUUCGGGACCAAAAGGUCGGCGGUUCAAGUCCGCCCUCCCCGACCA